Molecule: ribosomal RNA, 565 nt
Filed under: uncultured bacterium
Lineage: Bacteria
Description: partial 16S ribosomal RNA
Rfam family: Bacterial small subunit ribosomal RNA
Source: RNAcentral
UGGGGAAUUUUGGACAAUGGGCGAAAGCCUGAUCCAGCAAUGCCGUGUGUGUGAAGAAGGCCUUCGGGUUGUAAAGCACUUUUGUCCGGAAAGAAAUCCUUGGCUCUAAUACAGUCGGGGGAUGACGGUACCGGAAGAAUAAGCACCGGCUAACUACGUGCCAGCAGCCGCGGUAAUACGUAGGGUGCAAGCGUUAAUCGGAAUUACUGGGCGUAAAGCGUGCGCAGGCGGUUUGCUAAGACCGAUGUGAAAUCCCCGGGCUCAACCUGGGAACUGCAUUGGUGACUGGCAGGCUAGAGUAUGGCAGAGGGGGGUAGAAUUCCACGUGUAGCAGUGAAAUGCGUAGAGAUGUGGAGGAAUACCGAUGGCGAAGGCAGCCCCCUGGGCCAAUACUGACGCUCAUGCACGAAAGCGUGGGGAGCAAACAGGAUUAGAUACCCUGGUAGUCCACGCCCUAAACGAUGUCAACUAGUUGUUGGGGAUUCAUUUCCUUAGUAACGUAGCUAACGCGUGAAGUUGACCGCCUGGGAGUACGGUCGCAAGAUUAAAACUCAAAUGAAUUGAC